UACGAAGGGGGCAAGCGUUGUUCGGAAUUACUGGGCGUAAAGGGCGCAUAGGCGGUGCGUUAAGUUAGGCGUGAAAGCCCUGGGCUCAACCCGGGAACUGCGCUUGAUACUGGCGCGCUAGAAUCCAGGAGAGGUUGGUGGAAUUCCCAGUGUAGAGGUGAAAUUCGUAGAGAUUGGGAAGAACACCGGUGGCGAAGGCGGCCAACUGGACUGGUAUUGACGCUGAGGCGCGAAAGCGUGGGGAGCAAACAGG
This 253-nucleotide ribosomal RNA is filed under the name uncultured bacterium. RNAcentral describes it as "partial 16S ribosomal RNA". It matches the Rfam family "Bacterial small subunit ribosomal RNA", at positions 524 to 776 of the family's 1533-position model. The record is from RNAcentral.